GGCCGCCUGGCGAAAUGGCAUCGCGUCUGACUACGACUUGCCUAAGUGCAGUAUUCCAGUAAUCAGGAGAUUGCAGGUUCGACCCCUGCGGUGGUCA
Lentinula aciculospora is the source of this 97-nucleotide non-coding RNA. The record is from the annotation of a GenBank genome assembly. Lineage: Eukaryota; Fungi; Basidiomycota; Agaricomycetes; Agaricales; Omphalotaceae.